GUUAACAUGUUACAUGUUAAAGUUACGAGUCUUUCUUGUGCCUACAAUGCUCCGAAAGUAAUGCUAGACAAACGGCAUCCUGGGCAAUCGCAAAUAUUGCCCCAGACGACUUGUGUUUGUCUACA
RNAcentral lists this small nucleolar RNA (125 nucleotides) under Drosophila ananassae. Its description in RNAcentral is "snoRNA:GF26151". The record is from RNAcentral. Lineage: Eukaryota; Metazoa; Arthropoda; Insecta; Diptera; Drosophilidae.